GGCCGAUUAGUAUAGUGGUUAUUAUGUCUCCUUUACAUCAUGCAAAUGGUCGGAGAAGGUCGCAGGUUCGAGCCCUGCAUCGGUCA
This 86-nucleotide transfer RNA is filed under the name Heterodermia speciosa. It matches the Rfam family "tRNA". From Rfam's summary of the family: Transfer RNA (tRNA) molecules are approximately 80 nucleotides in length. Their secondary structure includes four short double-helical elements and three loops (D, anti-codon, and T loops). Lineage: Eukaryota; Fungi; Ascomycota; Lecanoromycetes; Caliciales; Physciaceae. The record is from Rfam by way of RNAcentral.